UUGGAGGGCAAGUCUGGUGCCAGCAGCCGCGGUAAUUCCAGCUCCAAUAGCGUAUAUUAAAGUUGUUGCAGUUAAAAAGCUCGUAGUUGAAUUUCGGGAUCAGUAGGUCGGUCAUGCCUAUGGUAUGUACUGGCUUUACUGGUUCCUCCUUCUUGAUGAUCUGUAAUGUCAUUAAUUUGGUGUUGCAGGGAGUCAGGACUGUUACUUUGAAAAAAUUAGAGUGUUUAAAGCAGGCAUACGCUUGAAUACAUUAGCAUGGAAUAAUGAAAUAGGACGUUCGAUCCUAUUUUGUUGGUUUCUAGGAUUGACGUAAUGAUUAAUAGGGAUAGUUGGGGGCAUUAGUAUUCAAUUGUCAGAGGUGAAAUUCUUGGAUUUAUUGAAGACUAACUACUGCGAAAGCAUUUGCCAAGGAUGUUUUCAUUAAUCAAGAACGAAAGUUAGGGGAUCGAAGACGAUCAGAUACCGUCGUAGUCUUAACCAUAAACUAUGCCGACUAGAGAUCGGAUGAUGUUAUUUUUAAUGACUCAUUCGGCACCUUACGGGAAAC
This 547-nucleotide ribosomal RNA is filed under the name uncultured Glomus. RNAcentral's name for it is "SSU rRNA". It matches the Rfam family "Eukaryotic small subunit ribosomal RNA", at positions 548 to 1098 of the family's 1831-position model. The record is from RNAcentral. Lineage: Eukaryota; Fungi; Glomeromycota; Glomeromycetes; Glomerales; Glomeraceae.